This is a non-coding RNA of Macaca mulatta (Rhesus monkey), 1180 nucleotides long. NCBI's taxonomy places the organism in Eukaryota, Metazoa, Chordata, Mammalia, Primates, Cercopithecidae. The record is from RefSeq and is a predicted model, not a curated record.
UUAGGCACAUACUUUUGGUUAAUAUUUCCAACAGUCCUGAAAGAUGUGGUAUAAAUGUAUCUGUAAUCCCUAGGGGUUUAUUGUGCAAGAAAAAAGCAAAGCACACUGUUGAUUUUUUUUUUUUUUUUGAGACAUAUUGGCUGGUAAAAUGUUGAUACUAAUUAAUUCUGAAGUGGAAACAGGCUUACAGGCUGGCAGACGGGUUAUAAAAUUUUUUUUUUCCAUUGGUCUCAGAAUUGCUAGAAUCGUUGUUUCAACACCAGUAGCUCUGGUCCAGGUUAAUAGUUCUGCCUCCACUCAAUACCACGUUAUACACCAUCUUCCCCACUGUCAGAGGAGCUUGUUGAAGAUAGUUUCUUUACCUGAGAAGUCACACCAUUCUCCUUUACUCCUCUUUCACCAUUUCCCCUCUUCUACCUGACCAGCGUACAUAUUUGUAAACUCUUGUUCCAACCUGUUAGCAUGUUCCUGAUGGAGGACUUCAUGGAAGAAGCGUGGAGUUGAGAAUUUCAACUUUUACUUCUGUUACAGGAAUGGCCUUCAGCCUCACUUAGAUAGAAAGGGCCACAAUAAACUCAGAGGAGAAACAGGCUCAGAAAUGGUGGAAGACAUACUCAUCUUAUUUAUCACUGGGUUUCUGGCCCUUGAUGAAGUACUUGGUAUUUAGACUCUAAACCCUGCCCCCCUUUUUUCCUCAUUACACCAUGAAGCCUCUGGACAAGAUGAAGUAUCUGACUUAUCAGCUUCUGCAACUGAAGAGAGCAUUGCAGAAUAUGAGCCUCUAUCAUGGACCAACCAAUAACUUCAAUAAAAGUGUGAUAAAUGCUGUAUCCCUGGCAGACGAUGAGUAUCUUCAAGAUGGUGAGUAUCUUCAUCUCUGUAUCACCAGGACUUGCCUUAAAAAAGGGACCAUAAUAUAGUCUAUAAGAAACUAUUAAAUAAAUGAAUGAGAAAUUGAUAUCAGGAAAGAAAAAAAGCAAUUAUCAAUCGGGUAUGUGCUGAGGGAUGAGCACUGUCAGGCACUUUUGCCUACACCAUUUUACUAAUUUUCGAGCAAUUCAGUGAGUUAGAUAUUAUCCCCAUUUAAGAAAUGAAGAUAUUGAGGUUUUGAGGGCUUAAAUAAUAACCCAACUUCCCAUGAUUAGCAAAUGGCAGAAACACAGAGCAGGAUGCUGGGUUG